CGAUCUAAGAAGGCGCCGUGUGUUCGUCGAAUGCAUAUUCGGAAGGAACUACUGACCGACAUCAUCGCGGUACGUAAAUGGGUUGCGCAUCCCGGUCUGAAAGAUAACGCGCUGCGUGAAUCGAUGGUAGGAAGUGCAGAGGCCGAACGGGUGGCGACAAGGUCGUGCGAUUACUGUCAGCUCUCGAGCUGCCGGCUCUCAUCGAAACCGAGGCAUCACUGUUGCUGCAGCUAUUGAACAGAGCACGGCAAGUGGACGAUCCCCCUGUCCCGUGGGCAGCAGGCAGCCGUACAACUUCUCAUCUCCGUGUAAUACGUGGCCGACCGUU
Molecule: long non-coding RNA, 328 nt
Organism: Nomia melanderi (Alkali bee)
Lineage: Eukaryota; Metazoa; Arthropoda; Insecta; Hymenoptera; Halictidae
Source: RefSeq, a predicted model, not a curated record